CAUGCAAGUCGAACGGUAACAGGAAGAAGCUUGCUUCUUUGCUGACGAGUGGCGGACGGGUGAGUAAUGUCUGGGAAACUGCCUGAUGGAGGGGGAUAACUACUGGAAACGGUAGCUAAUACCGCAUAACGUCGCAAGACCAAAGAGGGGGACCUUCUGGCCUCUUGCCAUCGGAUGUGCCCAGAUGGGAUUAGCUAGUAGGUGGGGUAACGGCUCACCUAGGCGACGAUCCCUAGCUGGUCUGAGAGGAUGACCAGCCACACUGGAACUGAGACACGGUCCAGACUCCUACGGGAGGCAGCAGUGGGGAAUAUUGCACAAUGGGCGCAAGCCUGAUGCAGCCAUGCCGCGUGUAUGAAGAAGGCCUUCGGGUUGUAAAGUACUUUCAGCGGGGAGGAAGGGAGUAAAGUUAAUACCUUUGCUCAUUGACGUUACCCGCAGAAGAAGCACCGGCUAACUCCGUGCCAGCAGCCGCGGUAAUACGGAGGGUGCAAGCGUUAAUCGGAAUUACUGGGCGUAAAGCGCACGCAGGCGGUUUGUUAAGUCAGAUGUGAAAUCCCCGGGCUCAACCUGGGAACUGCAUCUGAUACUGGCAAGCUUGAGUCUCGUAGAGGGGGGUAGAAUUCCAGGUGUAGCGGUGAAAUGCGUAGAGAUCUGGAGGAAUACCGGUGGCGAAGGCGGCCCCCUGGACGAAGACUGACGCUCAGGUGCGAAAGCGUGGGGAGCAAACAGGAUUAGAUACCCUGGUAGUCCACGCCGUAAACGAUGUCGACUUGGAGGUUGUGCCCUUGAGGCGUGGCUUCCGGAGCUAACGCGUUAAGUCGACCGCCUGGGGAGUACGGCCGCAAGGUUAAAACUCAAAUGAAUUGACGGGGGCCCGCACAAGCGGUGGAGCAUGUGGUUUAAUUCGAUGCAACGCGAAGAACCUUACCUGGUCUUGACAUCCACAGAACUUUCCAGAGAUGGAUUGGUGCCUUCGGGAACUGUGAGACAGGUGCUGCAUGGCUGUCGUCAGCUCGUGUUGUGAAAUGUUGGGUUAAGUCCCGCAACGAGCGCAACCCUUAUCCUUUGUUGCCAGCGGUCCGGCCGGGAACUCAAAGGAGACUGCCAGUGAUAAACUGGA
Molecule: ribosomal RNA, 1123 nt
Filed under: Escherichia coli
Lineage: Bacteria; Pseudomonadati; Pseudomonadota; Gammaproteobacteria; Enterobacterales; Enterobacteriaceae
Description: bacterial SSU rRNA
Rfam family: Bacterial small subunit ribosomal RNA
Source: RNAcentral